RNAcentral lists this ribosomal RNA (254 nucleotides) under uncultured bacterium. RNAcentral describes it as "partial 16S ribosomal RNA". It matches the Rfam family "Bacterial small subunit ribosomal RNA", at positions 524 to 776 of the family's 1533-position model. The record is from RNAcentral.
UACGUAGGGCGCAAGCGUUAUCCGGAAUUAUUGGGCGUAAAGAGCUCGUAGGCGGUUUGUCGCGUCUGCCGUGAAAGUCCGGGGCUCAACUCCGGAUCUGCGGUGGGUACGGGCAGACUAGAGUGAUGUAGGGGAGACUGGAAUUCCUGGUGUAGCGGUGAAAUGCGCAGAUAUCAGGAGGAACACCGGAUGGCGAAGGCAGGUCUCUGGGCAUUAACUGACGCUGAGGAGCGAAAGCAUGGGGAGCGAACAGG